CACGACGAUCUUCCGAUCUAUCUACAGUACUCUGAACUGUCAUAACGGACAAGUCGGUAAACUAGCAAAGUUUUAUUCACUCUUGCAGUUGCCUACCCUUGAAUUGCUAUUGUCAUCUGUAAAAUAAAUAACAAAAACAGCGAGUAAAGAUUCACUGACUUU
Haliotis rubra (blacklip abalone) is the source of this 162-nucleotide long non-coding RNA. RefSeq lists it as uncharacterized. NCBI's taxonomy places the organism in Eukaryota, Metazoa, Mollusca, Gastropoda, Lepetellida, Haliotidae. The record is from RefSeq and is a predicted model, not a curated record. The transcript is spliced from 3 exons.